RNAcentral lists this ribosomal RNA (1062 nucleotides) under Triticum aestivum (bread wheat). RNAcentral's name for it is "partial small subunit ribosomal RNA". The record is from RNAcentral. Lineage: Eukaryota; Viridiplantae; Streptophyta; Magnoliopsida; Poales; Poaceae.
AUGAAAUACAUAUGGCGUCUCGCCUAUGACCCAGAGAUCCGCGAGGCAGGUGACAAUUUGUUUGUAAUCCAAUUGUUCUGCGUGGGAGACUGGAAUAGGGUGAUGCAUCAAGGGCUAUGGAUCUUCAGGGGACUCAUGGUGAUCAUAGAAGAGUACGAUGGUAAGGGGAAGCCUGAGGCGGUCGUUCUUGAUCGCGUGUAUGUCUGGGCGCAGAUUCAUGACACACCAGAACUGUAUCGCAAAGAACCGAUCAUGGAUCAAUUAGCACGGAGAAUCGGUCAAGUAAAGAGUGUGGAGAUGAACCCUACCAGAGUUUUUGAGGGGAACUAUGUCAGGGUACGAGCAAAGAUCAAUGUAGCACAGCCAUUGGUUAGGUUUACACCACUGAAUAUCAAGGGUGAAGAGAGGCUAUUGUUACCAGUGAAAUAUGAAAAGAUUGCUUUCUUUUGUGAAGUCUGCGGUGUUAUGGGCCACAUCCUUGAAGAGUGUGGUAAUGGUAUCCACAAUCCUGAUGAGAUUGAAUAUGGUGAAUGGAUGUUAGCCAAGAGAAGGAGUCUCCCCUCGACCCAGUUUAAUCAGACUGGCCGAGGCAACUUCAGCUAUACUAGUGACAACAGGGGUGCACCUGGACGCCGAGGCAGAGGCCGCGGUGGACGCGGCAACGCUGAUGGAGGCCGGGGUAACGGCGAUGGAGCCAAGAAGCGAUCAUCACAGGAAGCGGGCUUGCAAGAGGACGUGGACCUGAAUGACACAGCGGAAAGCCCACUCAAGACAGACGUCGUGGAGAAGGAUGCCGAUCAGACCGAACCUACUGCUAAGAAGAAGCUUGACCUUUCUGAUGAUGCUCUUGGGGUUUCAGUCGAGAAUACUGCAGAACGUCACGCCCAGAAUCCUGCUGUACAUGUUCAGCCGAAGGAGAUAAUACUGGUUCCACCCCCUCCCCCAGGAUACCAAAACCCACGUGAUAGGAAGAAGCCAAAGAAGGGGUCGUCACCCAACAAAUCGACGAACAAAAUGAGCGAACAGGUGGGCUCCUUGGAGGAGCGCCGCCGCGCUCAAUGA